This 214-nucleotide long non-coding RNA is filed under the name Phoenix dactylifera (date palm). RNAcentral's name for it is "long non-coding RNA (PDAC_LNC008689)". Lineage: Eukaryota; Viridiplantae; Streptophyta; Magnoliopsida; Arecales; Arecaceae. The record is from RNAcentral.
GGAGACAAGGAGAGAGAGAGGGAGAGAGAGGCUAGCUCAAGCUCGCUAGCAUGUUAUAAUAUUAGGGGUAUAAAUGAACCUAGCUCGUUGGCAUGUUAUACUGUUAGGGGUAUAAAUGAGCUAAGGUCAGGCGAGCUAGGCCUAGUUCAACCUCGGCUUAUUUUGCAUUCGAGCUACGAUUGAUCUAACUCAUUCAAUUUUGAGUUGAACUUGA